UAUGUGGAGUUAGAGGUGGUGGAAAUGCCGCAGCACAGGCAUUGUUUUGGCAAGCAAAGAAAGGGCUUUCGUUUGUUUUGGCAUUUGAAUCUGAGAGAGAAAGAAACGCAGCUGUUAUGCUUGCCAGGAGGUUUGCGUUUGACUGCAAUAUCACGCUUGUUGGGCCGGAUGACAGAUCUCCUUUAGGAAACUAACUGACCUCCAUCAUAUUCUGUUUCACUAAUUGUAAUUAGUUGUUGAGUAUCAUCAUGUAUUAUAAGUUUGCAUUACUAGGAUUUGGAGUUGUAUGAUUUUGUUGUGGCUGGCUUUUGUUUUUUUGGCUGUAGCACCAAGGCAUUGUUUUUUGUUUGCCUUUUUGUUCGAGUGUAACAAAUUCCCAACAACAUUUGGAGAAUUAUUUGCUGCUGUAUUUUAAUUUACAAUUGUUGAAAGUUUGAUAUUUUAUGGUUGAUGAUUGGUA
Molecule: long non-coding RNA, 460 nt
Organism: Pistacia vera
Lineage: Eukaryota; Viridiplantae; Streptophyta; Magnoliopsida; Sapindales; Anacardiaceae
Exons: 2
Source: RefSeq, a predicted model, not a curated record